Mercurialis annua (annual mercury) is the source of this 2717-nucleotide long non-coding RNA. RefSeq lists it as uncharacterized. The record is from RefSeq and is a predicted model, not a curated record. Lineage: Eukaryota; Viridiplantae; Streptophyta; Magnoliopsida; Malpighiales; Euphorbiaceae. The transcript has 2 exons.
AUGAUUUUUGAAGGAAAAAUGAAAAGAAUUAUUUUUUUCAUGAAAACCAAAAACAACAUGAGGAAAUUAAGUGAAAAUUUGAUGAUUUUAUGAAAAAUAUUUGAUGGAUUUAAGUGUAUACGGUGUGUGUUAAUUAUUGAAAAUUAUGUUUAUAUGAGGUACGUAUAAAUGUUAGAGAUUCAUGCUAAGUUGAAUGCAAAUUUGGUUAAAUUCCAUGUUUAAAUAUGUUAGUAUGAAUGUUUGGUUAUUUGGGCAAAUUAAUGUUUGAUAUGUUUUGGUGAUAAUUUUUUUUUGAUGCUAGUCAUUAGAAAUUCAGAUAUUUUGUUUGAUUAUUUUCAUAGAUUAUCUAAAAUUUGUAUAGAUUUUGGUGUUUAGGUGGUAGAAAGGACGGUGAUCCGCGUACCACUUCCGGUGAACGGAUCAUGGUGGCUUUGUUCAUUAAAGGCAAGGCAUGGUUGGGCUGAAGGCCCAAACAUAAAGAAAUGCCUGGGGCCGAAAGGGGGCGAGAUCGGAAGUCGGAAGAUAAAUUUCCGAUUAGGAAUUAUGAUUAAAAAUUAACUUUGGACUAUAAUAAAAAUAUAAUAAAUUAAUUGUGCUCUAAAAGUUAAAAUAUAAAGGAAAUAAGAUUUUUACAAUAAAUAAAAUAAGUUUUAAAGAUUAUAUAGUCGGAAUUGACUACGAUCCAUAAAAGCGGAAUAGGAACCUAGGGUGCCGAAAAUGAAAACAUAUAUUAAAUUUAUAUUUGGAUAAUAUUUUGAUUAUAAGAUAAAAUAUUGGUGGACUUAGGUUAUAUACUGCCUUUUCCGUGGGCUUAAGUUUAGUAAGCCUUGUUAAAAUAUGGAGGAAAUUAGACAGGGCACGAUUCAACACUAAAAUAUUCUCACUAGUACGGAUGGUUAUGUCUCGCUACAAAAAUACGAAAGUCUUCUUAUUUCUUUCUCUUUCAAUCUUUUAUUUGAUGUUUUUACGAUUCAAUCUACUGAAAUAUACACUCAAUAUGAAAGAAAGCUAGUGAUGAGUAUUUGAGCUUAAGGGAUUUGAAUUUACUGUCAAUUUCAUUGAGUACAUGUGUUGUACUGCGUUCAUCGCUGCUGUUGAUUUCAAUUUCAGUUUCGAUUGUUGAUUAUUGGUAUCGGUGAGUUAAAUCCAUCUCUGUGUUGAAUCGUUGUUAAUGAUUUCAAUUUCUCAAUUUUGAUAUGUUUGAUUUCUCCUCAAAACCUAUUAUCAGGGUUUUCAAUUAAAUUCGUUAAGGUUAAUCUCUUCUUUAUUUCAAUCUCAGUUAAUCGAUAUUUUUUAUUACCUGAUGCAUCAUAUCAAGUAAGUUAGUUGGCAACAACAUUUUGGUUCGUACAUGUUUAUAUUACUGAACUUGGUUUUUUAGCAAACUAACAGUGAACUAUUAGUAAAGUUAAAUGCAACAGGAUAAAGGAUGCUUGUAAGGUGUUCGAUUAGCUGCCUCAACCGGAUGUUGUUUUUUAUAGUGCUUUACUUUUUGGUUCGUACAUGCUUUACUUUCUGGUUACUUUUUGAUCAUAAUAAUGAUGCUUUGUAGUUGUGUUGCUGCCUUAGGAUAUGGUUUUUGGUGUGACAAUCUUAAUGAUGAUUAUAAGGUUGUUAGUAUUGCACAAAAAUUACUAGGUUGUUUGUUGUUACAUUUUUAAGUAUCAAGUGAAGAAGCUAUAGAAACUACUAGGCUGUUUGCUUUGAAGGAAUGUUUGCUGGUAGGAUUAUGGCUUCACAUCCUUUUUUUAUUAAUAAUCUGCCUAUAUGCUUUGUUCUAUUUAGGAAAAAGAAUGUGCAUAUAUUAGCUACUGAGAUUGCUGUAGGAGGUCCAACAAAACUCAGCCGUAUAUAUCCCUUGCUACUCCAACUAUCGCAGCACCUCGUACACCUGAGCACAGCAGUCCCGUUUUGACUGAUCAGGCCCCUCGAACUCCUCAGACAAUAGCUAUUUAUGGCAUCAUAUGUUUGAUUCGGCAUAAAUUUAACUAAUUCUUUUUUGAUGUCAUUGGCUCUAUUUUGUUUGAUUUUGCUGCUGACUUUUGAAUUUUUGUUUUCUUUUAUUUCUAAUAUAGUUUUUCACUUGUUGUGUUUCUAAUACUUAAAUACAUUGUGAUUUUCUCCUUACAUACAUUGUUUAAAUAUACUGUUCAAAUGUGGAUUGUAGUUAUAGCUAAUCCAGGUGGAGGAGUAUUUAUAUCAGAUCCAAAAGAACCUACAGGAGGUCAUGUUGUUGCUCAUGCAGCCACAAUAAGGCUGAUCUCCGGGAACGGAAAAGGUGAACAACGUGUCUAUAAGCAAAUUUUGAAGACAGAUUUUGAUUAUAAGGUUCCUGAUGCCAAGCCAAUAUCAUUUGUCAAGGCAAAAAAAAAUUGAAACUUGUGAAGGGACUAAAUCCACUUAAUGACAACUUUGGUGAAAGUAUUAUUUCUUCUGAUCAACAAUGGGAGCGUAUUGCAUUUCUUUUGUAUCAAUAUGGAACACGAAGAUGGCGAAAAAUAUUGAGAGUGAUGAAGAGGUUGAAGUUAAGAAGACGAAUGCGGAAGCGACAAAGGCAAAAAUGAAGAAAACAAUUUAAAACUUGUGAUUGUCUAGUAUAUAAAUUUUCAGUUUUAGUUGUUUGUUUGGAUUAUUUUGUUGUAUAGGAUUGUUUUCUGAACUUAUGAAUAUUGGUUGUUAUUUUUGUUUAGUUUUAUAAAUUCAGUAUCUAUUUAGUA